This 384-nucleotide long non-coding RNA is filed under the name Zea mays. RNAcentral's name for it is "drought responsive lncRNA". Lineage: Eukaryota; Viridiplantae; Streptophyta; Magnoliopsida; Poales; Poaceae. The record is from RNAcentral.
CAGAUCCAGAUCAUAGGCGUGAAGGCCAACAGUUACCAGAAGCUGACUGUGUGAUAGAUGGACCAAACACGUUCGAAGACGACCCGCAGGACACGUUCGAGCAAGAGGGUGAUGAAGAAGACUUUGCAGAUGAUGUCGAUGAGAACUAAGUCUAACGAUGCACCAGUCACCUUCCUAUGGAAGAGUGUCCAUGUUUAAUUCUAUUGUACUUUGAUGAUGAUACUUUUUAAGACACUAUUGUCUAAAUGAUGUAAUAAAGUUACUCUACUCUCUUUACGCCUUUAUUGCAUUGUCUUUUGAUAUAUUACACUUGUGACGUCAACAUAUGUGUGAAAAAUGGAUAUUGGCACACAUAUCCUAUGCAUUCGGUUUGCCCCCAAAACC